RNAcentral lists this long non-coding RNA (579 nucleotides) under Equus asinus (donkey). RNAcentral describes it as "lncRNA (ENSEASG00005033821.1)". Lineage: Eukaryota; Metazoa; Chordata; Mammalia; Perissodactyla; Equidae. The record is from RNAcentral.
GUCCCUUCCUGCCUGAGGCCUGAGUCUCCCCACGUAUCAUCAGAGAGGGUUAGAUUACAAGGUCUCUUGCCUCAGUUGCACUGUGCCCCCUGCACUGGAGCCUAGAGACUGGCCGAGUUCCAAGUCUUGUCUCUGGAAGGGCCUGCCCACUGGCAGCAGUGCAACAUUGGAAGAGGUGUGGACGGGGGCUAGUGCUGGCCUAAGGGGGCCGUUUCUGAUGGACUGGCUGUCUGCCUUUCAGGGGAAUGUGCUGAACUGUCGGAAAUGGAAUGAGGCACCAGACCCCCAACCAAGCGCCCAGUGGUGGUGAUCCAUGACCCUCCUGAGACCAGCUGAACUACAGCACGGACACAGUGGGUACACUCAGGGUGCACAGGGCCACGUCCUCUGAUUCUGACAAGGAGAACUUUGUGAUCCAUUUCCUGGGGUCCCCUGGAGGCCACGAAGGAAGGCACCAAACCCUCUUCUCCCUCCCCGCUUUUCCCCAGCACCUAUUUCCGUAUUUGCAGGGGCCGUGUUUUUGUUGUCAAUGGUAAAUGGUCCGUUUGGGUAUUAUAUUAAAUUGUUGCUUCUUUCUAA